Molecule: ribosomal RNA, 253 nt
Filed under: uncultured bacterium
Lineage: Bacteria
Description: partial 16S ribosomal RNA
Rfam family: Bacterial small subunit ribosomal RNA
Source: RNAcentral
UACAGAGGCCUCGAGCGUUAGGCGGAAUCACUGGGCUUAAAGCGUGUGUAGGCGGACUUCUAAGUACCUUGUGAAAUCCCACGGCUCACCCGUGGAACUGCUCGGUAUACUGGUCGUCUUGAGCCUUCUAGGGGCGAGUGGAACAAAUGGUGGAGCGGUGAAAUGCGUAGAUAUCAUUUGGAACGCCAAUGGUGAAAACAACUCGCUGGGGAAGUGCUGACGCUGAGACACGAAAGCCAGGGGAGCAAACGGG